AGCCCAGAGCCUGAAUCAGUGUGUGUGUUAGUGGAAGCGUCUGGAAAGGCGCGCGAUACAGGGUGACAGCCCCGUACACAAAAAUGCACAUGCUGUGAGCUCGAUGAGUAGGGCGGGACACGUGGUAUCCUGUCUGAAUAUGGGGGGACCAUCCUCCAAGGCUAAAUACUCCUGACUGACCGAUAGUGAACCAGUACCGUGAGGGAAAGGCGAAAAGAACCCCGGCGAGGGGAGUGAAAAAGAACCUGAAACCGUGUACGUACAAGCAGUGGGAGCACAGAGCAAUCUGUGUGACUGCGUACCUUUUGUAUAAUGGGUCAGCGACUUAUAUUCUGUAGCAAGGUUAACCGAAUAGGGGAGCCGAAGGGAAACCGAGUCUUAACUGGGCGUUAAGUUGCAGGGUAUAGACCCGAAACCCGGUGAUCUAGCCAUGGGCAGGUUGAAGGUUGGGUAACACUAACUGGAGGACCGAACCGACUAAUGUUGAAAAAUUAGCGGAUGACUUGUGGCUGGGGGUGAAAGGCCAAUCAAACCGGGAGAUAGCUGGUUCUCCCCGAAAGCUAUUUAGGUAGCGCCUCGUGAAUUCAUCUCCGGGGGUAGAGCACUGUUUCGGCAAGGGGGUCAUCCCGACUUACCAACCCGAUGCAAACUGCGAAUACCGGAGAAUGUUAUCACGGGAGACACACGGCGGGUGCUAACGUCCGUCGUGAAGAGGGAAACAACCCAGACCGCCAGCUAAGGUCCCAAAGUCAUGGUUAAGUGGGAAACGAUGUGGGAAGGCCCAGACAGCCAGGAUGUUGGCUUAGAAGCAGCCAUCAUUUAAAGAAAGCGUAAUAGCUCACUGGUCGAGUCGGCCUGCGCGGAAGAUGUAACGGGGCUAAACCAUGCACCGAAGCUGCGGCAGCGACACUGUGUGUUGUUGGGUAGGGGAGCGUUCUGUAAGCCUGUGAAGGUGUGCUGUGAGGCAUGCUGGAGGUAUCAGAAGUGCGAAUGCUGACAUAAGUAACGAUAAAGCGGGUGAAAAGCCCGCUCGCCGGAAGACCAAGGGUUCCUGUCCAACGUUAAUCGGGGCAGGGUGAGUCGACCCCUAAGGCGAGGCCGAAAGGCGUAGUCGAUGGGAAACAGGUUAAUAUUCCUGUACUUGGUGUUACUGCGAAGGGGGGACGGAGAAGGCUAUGUUGGCCGGGCGACGGUUGUCCCGGUUUAAGCGUGUAGGCUGGUUUUCCAGGCAAAUCCGGAAAAUCAAGGCUGAGGCGUGAUGACGAGGCACUACGGUGCUGAAGCAACAAAUGCCCUGCUUCCAGGAAAAGCCUCUAAGCAUCAGGUAACAUCAAAUCGUACCCCAAACCGACACAGGUGGUCAGGUAGAGAAUACCAAGGCGCUUGAGAGAACUCGGGUGAAGGAACUAGGCAAAAUGGUGCCGUAACUUCGGGAGAAGGCACGCUGAUAUGUAGGUGAAGUCCCUCGCGGAUGGAGCUGAAAUCAGUCGAAGAUACCAGCUGGCUGCAACUGUUUAUUAAAAACACAGCACUGUGCAAACACGAAAGUGGACGUAUACGGUGUGACGCCUGCCCGGUGCCGGAAGGUUAAUUGAUGGGGUCAGCGCAAGCGAAGCUCUUGAUCGAAGCCCCGGUAAACGGCGGCCGUAACUAUAACGGUCCUAAGGUAGCGAAAUUCCUUGUCGGGUAAGUUCCGACCUGCACGAAUGGCGUAAUGAUGGCCAGGCUGUCUCCACCCGAGACUCAGUGAAAUUGAACUCGCUGUGAAGAUGCAGUGUACCCGCGGCAAGACGGAAAGACCCCGUGAACCUUUACUAUAGCUUGACACUGAACAUUGAGCCUUGAUGUGUAGGAUAGGUGGGAGGCUUUGAAGUGUGGACGCCAGUCUGCAUGGAGCCGACCUUGAAAUACCACCCUUUAAU
Molecule: ribosomal RNA, 1922 nt
Filed under: Escherichia coli
Lineage: Bacteria; Pseudomonadati; Pseudomonadota; Gammaproteobacteria; Enterobacterales; Enterobacteriaceae
Description: partial 23S ribosomal RNA
Rfam family: Bacterial large subunit ribosomal RNA
Source: RNAcentral